GGAAGGACAGGUUUGGGUUUGGGGUUUUUUGUUUGUUUGUUUGUUUGUUUUGGGGGGCCUUCGCGCUGAGCUGCAUCCUCGGCCCUUUUUAUUUGCCGACAGAAUCUGGAUGAGUCAGUAAGUUGUCCUGGCGGGGCUUCUCCUUCCUCAGGCUCCCUCGUGCUGAACUCUGGGCGCGCGCCCAGCUGAGGACGUGGCCCGAGGGAGGGAGGUCAGCGGGAGCUUCACAACGUUUGGCCCUGGUUGUGCGCCCUGCAGGGUGUGCCGUGAAGCUGUUGGUGGUUCUGAGGGCAAUCAUAAGCCUGGGGAAGCGUGUACUGUACUGUGUAAUAAUGAAGACAGCAGUUAUCCGCACUUUGAAAGCAAGUUUUGCAAAAUAGUUACGCACUUCCUUUGAGUGAUGAGUUCUAAUAAGCCACAUCCUGUAGGACAUCAGCACACCUUUGGGGGCAACACAGGACUGAGAUGUAGCCUGCACAGAGGCUGUCCUGGACACAGAAGCAGGUGAAUUGCUGGCCCACAAUGCAGCCUCAUAGAUCUGUGCCGAGCGGAUCCAAGGGACCAGGCUGGUGAAUCUCAGGUUUGAAUCAUCUUUGAACCAACUCUGGGUCCCCAAAGUCCAAGGAUGUAGAAGGAAAAGCAGCUCCAGCUCAGACUCAGUUUCUCCUCCACUGAUGAUAGAUUCCUCUGACACCGUGUGGUGAGCUUUCCCUGAACGUGAGCAAGUGGCAGCUCCAUAGCCCACCUCAGUGGGGCGCUCUCUGGUUUGUUUUGUUUGUUUGUUUUUUGGUACCAGGGAUCGGACUUGGGUCCUUGCGCUUGUGAGGCAGGUGGCAGAACCACUGAGCUAAAUCCCCAGCGCUCUGGUUUGUUUUUUUAUUCCUGUGGUGCCAGGAUCCCUCAAGGCGGGUGCUCCACCACAGUGCCACAGUGAGUAGGGCAUCAGGGCCACUGUGAGGGUGCCAUUGCAAAACUGCCCCUCUGAUGGCAGCUGCAGGCCCUGGGUCAUCUCACCUACGCUUCUACCCAGGCUAGAAGUAGGGUUCCAUUAAUUUGCUCAACAGCUCACAGUACCCAGGGAAGCAACAUUUAAGGGUUUAUUUAUUCUCCCCUGGCACUGAGGAUUGAACCCAGCGCCUUCACAUUUAGCUUUCCCAGCCUUAGUCUAGUAAGUUGCCAAAUUGCCUAACCCGGGCUCUACCUUGCAAUCGUCUUGCCUCAGCCUCCCACAGUGCUGGGGUUAAAGUCAUGCAUCGCCAUGUCUGGCUUUACCAGUUUACUAUGAAGGACAGUAGGAAGGAGACAGGCGAAGAGAUGCCCAGGCGAGGCCUGUGGGAAAGGUACCCUCCGAGCACCUGUGCCUGCUGUCUCUAGCGCUAUCUGCUGGGUCUGAGAUGCCAAGUGAUGUGCACAGACGAAGCAGGGACCUAGCAAGGCCAUCAUCUGGCUUCCUCCGCGGCCCUUCCUCCUGCAUGCCGACAGACCCCUCUCUGAACUGGGUGCUCAUCAUCUGAACAGGGAAAGGGUGGGCCAGAGAAGUUCUGUGGGCUGGGGGAGAUCAGUUUCUGUGCCUGCCUUGGGGAGAGAAAAGGGCAGGCAAAGGGGGGUUAGGUCAGACUGCUUUCUAAGCCCCAAACACCUGACAUCGGUCUACUCAGGGCAAUGGGAGCAAUAAGCCAGGGACCAGGGAUGAAAACCAAAAGCUAUCUGUACCACAAAGUAAAGAACAAAAACAGGCUUCUGAGAGGCGUAAUUACACCUCCAGAUGGCUUGGUCAUCUCCUGCCUAAGUUCUGGGCUUCCAGCCUUCUGGCUUGGCCUGUGAAUUUCAAUUUGUCUGCCCCUACUACUACCAGAGCCACUGCUUUAAAACAGAUCUUUUACUAGGCCAGGCACAAGGACACAGGCCUGUAAUCCCAGUGACUCUGGAGGCUGAGGCAGGAGGAUCACAAGUAAAAGCCCAGCCUGGACAACUUAACAAGACCCUAUCUUAAAAUAAAAUAAAAUAGAUCAAAAGGGCCAGGGUGCAGCUCAGCUCAGCAUCUGCCUUGCAUGCACAAGACCCUGGGCUCAAUCCCCAGUACCACACUAAAUAAACACAUGAAAUAAAACCGUUUACUAUAUUUAUUGUACAAGAAUAAUCUCCUAUUGGUUGUGUUCUCUGGAAAAAUGCACAUUGCCAUUACCCCAGCAUAGGAUUUUAUAAUCUGCCAUCUGUACUACUGGAGCUGGUCUUUGUGUCGGAAAUAGUUUCCUGUCUAAAUCUGACAGACCAGCUCCAAGGUGCUCUCCUUCCAGUUGUUCCCAGAGCUCAGGACAGAACGCUAGAGGUAGACGAUCUGGCCCUUGGUGAUUUGCCACCUGCCCCUCAUAUGGCUUUGCUUUCCUCUCCAUCUGCUCCUGCGGUCUCCUCCUGGUUCUGCGGGAUACUGUGAGCACUGGCGUCUUCUGCCUCUCUAGAUUUCUCUUUUUCUGUUUUUGUUAUUGAUUUGGUGUGGCUGGGGCCUGGACCCGUGGCCUGCCUGGUGCUGGCUGAAUCCACCACAGCCCCAUCUGGAUCUCUUGCCUCCU
Molecule: long non-coding RNA, 2570 nt
Filed under: Heterocephalus glaber (naked mole-rat)
Lineage: Eukaryota; Metazoa; Chordata; Mammalia; Rodentia; Bathyergidae
Description: lncRNA (ENSHGLG00100039255.1)
Source: RNAcentral